Molecule: ribosomal RNA, 631 nt
Filed under: uncultured euryarchaeote
Lineage: Archaea; Methanobacteriati; Methanobacteriota
Description: bacterial SSU rRNA
Rfam family: Archaeal small subunit ribosomal RNA
Source: RNAcentral
GAGGUGGCCUUGAGAAGGGCACUUAGACACUGGCCCUAGCCCUACGGGGUGCAGCAGGCGCGAAACCUCUACACUGCACGAAAGUGUGAUAGGGGGACUCCAAGUGCUUAUACUUUUUGUAUAGGCUUUUGCCAAGGGUAAAUACCUUGGCGAAUAAGUGGUGGGCAAGACGGGUGCCAGCCGCCGCGGUAACACCUGCGCCACAAGUUGGAACCACAUUUAUUGGGCCUAAAGCGUUCGUAGCUUGUUUGAUAAAUCUUUUGUGAAAUCGUUGCGCUUAACGUAACGGCGUGCAAGAGACACUAUCAGACUUGGGACCGGAGAGGGGUUGGAGUAUUUCUGGGGAGCGGUAAAAUGCUAUAAUCCCAGAAAGACUGCCAAUGGCGAAGGCGCCUAACCAGAACGGUUUCGACGGUGAGGAACGAAAGCCAGGGGAGCAAUCCGGAUUAGAUAGAACUUCUUGUGUCAAUAGACUAAAUACUUCGUAAAGAUUAUUGCAACAAAACUACUGUCUGAACGAAGAUGACAUCACAAGAUAGCUCCUAAUUACCCGAGUAGUCCUGGCCGUAAACGCUGCGAGCUAGGUGUCACGUAUUUUUGUAAAUACGUGGUGUCGAAGCGAAGGUGUUAA